Picea glauca (white spruce) is the source of this 120-nucleotide non-coding RNA. The record is from Rfam. Lineage: Eukaryota; Viridiplantae; Streptophyta; Pinopsida; Pinales; Pinaceae.
UUUGUAAAUGUUUACAAUGUUAAUGCAUCAAAUUACAUUAGAACUCCAUAAUUAAGUGCGCUUGGGAUACAAUAGUACUAGGAUGGGUGACCUCCCAAGAAGUGCUAGUGUUUUACAUGC